CUUUAUCGGAGAGUUUGAUCCUGGCUCAGGACGAACGCUGGCGGCGUGCCUAAUACAUGCAAGUCGAGCGGAC
RNAcentral lists this ribosomal RNA (73 nucleotides) under Bacillus subtilis. RNAcentral's name for it is "partial 16S ribosomal RNA". It matches the Rfam family "Bacterial small subunit ribosomal RNA", at positions 1 to 71 of the family's 1533-position model. Lineage: Bacteria; Bacillati; Bacillota; Bacilli; Caryophanales; Bacillaceae. RNAcentral also lists the same sequence under 1 other name. The record is from RNAcentral.